This 492-nucleotide ribosomal RNA is filed under the name uncultured bacterium. RNAcentral's name for it is "partial 16S ribosomal RNA". It matches the Rfam family "Bacterial small subunit ribosomal RNA", at positions 29 to 507 of the family's 1533-position model. The record is from RNAcentral.
AGUGAACGCUGGCGGUAGGCCUAACACAUGCGAGUCGAACGGCAGCACAGUAAGAGCUUGCUCUUACGGGUGGCGAGUGGCGGACGGGUGAGGAAUACAUCGGAAUCUACUUUUUCGUGGGGGAUAACGUAGGGAAACUUACGCUAAUACCGCAUACGACCUACGGGUGAAAGCAGGGGAUCUUCGGACCUUGCGCGAUUGAAUGAGCCGAUGUCGGAUUAGCUAGUUGGCGGGGUAAAGGCCCACCAAGGCGACGAUCCGUAGCUGGUCUGAGAGGAUGAUCAGCCACACUGGAACUGAGACACGGUCCAGACUCCUACGGGAGGCAGCAGUGGGGAAUAUUGGACAAUGGGCGCAAGCCUGAUCCCGCCAUACCGCGUGGGUGAAGAAGGCCUUCGGGUUGUAAAGCCCUUUUGUUGGGAAAGAAAAGCAGCAGGUUAAUACCCCGCUGUUCUGACGGUACCCAAAGAAUAAGCACCGGCUAACUUCGUG